GGUGCGAGCCGCUGGCAGCUUCGCGUUCCCGCCGGGCGAGCCGCCCCGGGACAGAGGCGCGCUAGGAGCGCUUGCGCAGCGGCGUCGGCGCAAGGUCCGGCCCCGGGGCAGUCAGUCAGUUGCGGGCGGCUCGGAGGGGGCCUCUCAGCGGACGUGGAGGCUGCGGGACGGGCCGCCCACCGGUUGAACGCUGAAUGCUCAGGCGGCUGAGGAGGAAAAUUGGCACAUAAUGGAUGCUCAUAUCACAUGGAACAAAUCACUUAUUUUCACUGACCAGGAACUGUAUCCAGAAAGAGAGAAAGGCAUGGUCUCUGAAAAGGCUGCAAUCAAGGUGUUGGCAGGGGCUGUAUUUGUCUUAAGGCUCAACUGGAGG
Long non-coding RNA from Canis lupus familiaris (dog), 373 nucleotides. RefSeq lists it as uncharacterized. The record is from RefSeq and is a predicted model, not a curated record. Lineage: Eukaryota; Metazoa; Chordata; Mammalia; Carnivora; Canidae. The transcript has 3 exons.